AUAAAGUUUUAUUCUAGCUUUAAAUUUGAGUAUAAUUUUAUUUUACAUGUAAAUUUUAGUAUGGUGUUGUUAUAAUAAUUUAAAUAAUUUCAAUUUAAUUUCAUUCGCAGUAAAUAACUUUAUUUUUCAGCGCUAGCUGGAUUUAGUAAUAAUUAAUAAUAUUGACAAAAUUUGUGCCAGCAGUUGCGGUUAUACAGAUAAUAUAUCUCAAAUUAUUCGGAAUCAGUUAAUUUUUCUUUUAACUUUAAUUUUAUUUUUAUAGAGUGAAAUUUUUAAAUAUUAAAUAAGUUGAUUAUUAGUUAAUGAGGCUGGGAAAUUUUUCUUAAGACUAGGAUUAGAUACCCUAUUAUGUUAAACGUUAAUAAUCUUUCUGGGAUAGUAGUAGUUUUGUUCUUUAAAACUAAAGAUUUUGGCGGUACCUUAGUCCAUUCAGAGGAACCUGUCCUGUAAUUGAUGAUCCACGAUUUGAUUUACUUUCUUUAUUAAUUUACAUAUCGUCGUAGCUUGAAUAUCUUAUUAGAGCUUUAAUAUUCAGGAUUCUUUCAGGAAAAAAAUCAGAUCAAGGUGUAGUAUAUAAGAGAGAAGAGAUGGGUUACAGUAAAUUUAUUUAAAAGGAUUUAUUUACUUAGGUAUCUAAUGAAUUCGGAUUUGAUUGUAAUUUUAACUAAUUAGUUAUUUUGAUUUUGGCUCUAGGGUAUGCACAUAUCGCCCGUCGCUUUCACUCUAAAGUGAAAUAAGUCGUAACAUAGUAGGCCUACCGGAAGGUGGGCCUGGAUAGAC
Molecule: non-coding RNA, 780 nt
Filed under: Xixuthrus sp. ANIC_25-067096
Lineage: Eukaryota; Metazoa; Arthropoda; Insecta; Coleoptera; Cerambycidae
Source: RNAcentral